GACGAACGCUGGCGGCGUGCUUAACACAUGCAAGUCGAACGGUAACGCCCCUUCCUUUUUGGUGGGUGUGGGUGAGUGGCGAACGGGUGCGUAACACGUGAGUAUCCUGCCCCCUUCUUCUGGAUAACCGCAUGAAAGUGUGGCUAAUACGGGAUAUUCUGGGUCUGUCUCAUGCUGGGUUUGGGAAAGUUGUUGUUUCGGUGGGGGAUGGGCUCGCGGCCUAUCAGCUUGUUGGUUGGGUGAUGGACUACCAAGGCGGGGACAGGUAGCCGGCCUGAGAGGGUGGACGGGCACACUGGGGAGGAGACACGGCCAAGACGGCUACGAGACGCAGCAGAGAGGAAUACUGGAGGAAGGGGGCGAGCCUAAUGCAGCGACGCCGAGUGAGUGAUGGAGGCCUUCGGGGUGUGAACCGCAUUCGCUAGUGAAGCAGGGCUGCCUCGUUUGUGAGGGUAUUGACGGUAGCUGGAUAAGAAGCGCCGGCUAACUACGUG
Molecule: ribosomal RNA, 494 nt
Filed under: uncultured bacterium
Lineage: Bacteria
Description: partial 16S ribosomal RNA
Rfam family: Bacterial small subunit ribosomal RNA
Source: RNAcentral